GAGAACGACCAUACCAACAUGACAGCACCGCUUCCCGUCUGCUCAGCGAAGUUAAGCAUGUUCGGGCCCAGUUAGUACUACGGUGGGGGACCACGUUGGAAUCCUGGGUGUUGUUCUCU
Molecule: ribosomal RNA, 119 nt
Organism: Fragilariopsis cylindrus CCMP1102
Lineage: Eukaryota; Bacillariophyta; Bacillariophyceae; Bacillariales; Bacillariaceae
Source: Rfam